AAUACAUGCAAGUCGAGCGAUGAGGCUCCUUCGGGAGUACAUCAGCGGCGAACGGGUGAGUAACACGUGGGUGACUUGCCCCGAAGAUGGGGAUAACCUCUGGAAACGGGGGCUAAUACCCAAUGUGCUCGGUGAUUCGGUUCAUCGAGUAAAGCUCCGGCGCUUCGGGAGAGGCCUGCGGCCCAUCAGCUAGUUGGUAGGGUAACGGCCUACCAAGGCAGAGACGGGUAGGGGGCGUGAGAGCGCGGACCCCCACACUGGCACUGAGAUACGGGCCAGACUCCUACGGGAGGCAGCAGUAAGGGAUAUUGCGCAAUGGACGAAAGUCAGACGCAGCGACGCCGCGUGGGCGAUGAAGGCCUUCGGGUUGUAAAGCCCUUUUAUGGGGGAAGAGAAAAAGGACGGUACCCCAGGAAUAAGUCCCGGCUAACUACGUGCCAGCAGCCGCGGUAAAACGUAUGGGACAAGCGUUAUCCGGAUUCACUGGGCGUAAAGAGCGUUGAGGCGGUUCCGUAAGUUGGGCGUGAAAGCUCCGGGCUUAACUCGGAGAUGUCGUUCAAUACUGCGGGGCUUGAGGACAGCAGAGGAAGGUGGAAUUCCCGGUGUAGUGGUGAAAUGCGUAGAUAUCGGGAGGAACACCCGUGGCGAAGGCGGCCUUCUGGGCUGUUCCUGACGCUGAAGGCGAAAGCUAGGGGAGCGAACGGGAUUAGAUACCCCGGUAGUCCUAGCUGUAAACGAUGGAUGCUGGGUGUGGGGGGUGUAAAUUCCCUCUGUGCCGAAGCAAACGCGUUAAGCAUCCCGCCUGGGGACUACGGCCGCAAGGCUAAAACUCAAACGAAUUGACGGGGGCCCGCACAAGCAGCGGAGCGUGUGGUUUAAUUCGAUGCUACACGAAGAACCUUACCUGGGUUUGACAUGCACGUGGUAGGGAACCGAAAGGGGACCGACCUUCGGGAGCGUGCACAGGUGCUGCAUGGCUGUCGUCAGCUCGUGCCGUGAGGUGUCGGGUUAAGUCCCGUAACGAGCGCAACCCUUGCCCUUAGUUACAAGUGUCUAAGGGGACUGCCCGGGACAACUGGGAGGAAGGUGGGGAUGACGUCAAGUCAGCAUGGCCUUUAUAUCCAGGGCUACACACACGCUACAAUGGCCGGUACAAUAGGUUGCGAAG
This 1168-nucleotide ribosomal RNA is filed under the name uncultured organism. RNAcentral describes it as "bacterial SSU rRNA". It matches the Rfam family "Bacterial small subunit ribosomal RNA", at positions 50 to 1254 of the family's 1533-position model. The record is from RNAcentral.